Molecule: ribosomal RNA, 465 nt
Filed under: Vreelandella stevensii
Lineage: Bacteria; Pseudomonadati; Pseudomonadota; Gammaproteobacteria; Oceanospirillales; Halomonadaceae
Description: partial 16S ribosomal RNA
Rfam family: Bacterial small subunit ribosomal RNA
Source: RNAcentral
CCUACGGGAGGCAGCAGUGGGGAAUAUUGGACAAUGGGGGGAACCCUGAUCCAGCCAUGCCGCGUGUGUGAAGAAGGCCCUCGGGUUGUAAAGCACUUUCAGUGAGGAAGAACGCCUGGUGGUUAAUACCCAUCAGGAAAGACAUCACUCACAGAAGAAGCACCGGCUACCUCCGUGCCAGCAGCCGCGGUAAUACGGAGGGUGCGAGCGUUAAUCGGAAUUACUGGGCGUAAAGCGCGCGUAGGUGGCUUGAUAAGCCGGUUGUGAAAGCCCCGGGCUCAACCUGGGAACGGCAUCCGGAACUGUCAAGCUAGAGUGCAGGAGAGGAGGGUAGAACUCCCGGUGUAGCGGUGAAAUGCGUAGAGAUCGGGAGGAAUACCAGUGGCGAAGGCGGCCUUCUGGACUGACACUGACACUGAGGUGCGAAAGCGUGGGUAGCAAACAGGAUUAGAUACCCUUGUAGUC